This 492-nucleotide ribosomal RNA is filed under the name uncultured bacterium. RNAcentral describes it as "partial 16S ribosomal RNA". It matches the Rfam family "Bacterial small subunit ribosomal RNA", at positions 29 to 507 of the family's 1533-position model. The record is from RNAcentral.
AGUGAACGCUGGCGGUAGGCCUAACACAUGCAAGUCGAACGGCAGCACAGUAAGAGCUUGCUCUUACGGGUGGCGAGUGGCGGACGGGUGAGGAAUACAUCGGAAUCUACUUUUUCGUGGGGGAUAACGUAGGGAAACUUACGCUAAUACCGCAUACGACCUACGGGUGAAAGCAGGGGAUCUUCGGACCUUGCGCGAUUGAAUGAGCCGAUGUCGGAUUAGCUAGUUGGCGGGGUAAAGGCCCACCAAGGCGACGAUCCGUAGCUGGUCUGAGAGGAUGAUCAGCCACACUGGAUCUGAGACACGGUCCAGACUCCUACGGGAGGCAGCAGUGGGGAAUAUUGGACAAUGGGCGCAAGCCUGAUCCAGCCAUACCGCGUGGGUGAAGAAGGCCUUCGGGUUGUAAAGCCCUCUUGUUGGGAAAGAAAAGCAGCAGGUUAAUACCCCGCUGUUCUGACGGUACCCAAAGAAUAAGCACCGGCUAACUUCGUG